Molecule: non-coding RNA, 675 nt
Organism: Pelobates cultripes (western spadefoot toad)
Lineage: Eukaryota; Metazoa; Chordata; Amphibia; Anura; Pelobatidae
Source: the annotation of a GenBank genome assembly
CCCUAAUCAUUUUUUAUUUUUAAAGGCACAACAUAUCCGAUUCCAUACUGCAGCACGAUCAUCCUUAGUUGAUGUCAUUCCCCCUUGCUGAACUGGGAGGGAUAUCCCAAAGGCCAGGCUCAGGGAGAACCUGAGCAGCAUGUUCCUUUAAGCCCUGCACCAUUGGCUUAGCUCAGGCAGAGAGCUUCUGGCUGUUAAAAAGGCAGGGACCUGUGCCUGGCAGACCCCAGAGUAAGAAGUCAGAGAAUUAAAUGAUUUGGCUAUUUCCACUGGGGGUGCCAGGUCACUCAUGGCACCUUAACCACUACUGUGUGCUCCUCUGUUCCUUUAAAUGAAAACUGUCGGAAUGCAAAUAGUUAAAUAUGCGGAUGGGUUUACAUUCUACAUUUAUAUACUUUUGUGUAGUAGUUUUGGAUUAUGUGACCGCUAUUAAAGUUAUAGUCCUAUAAUGCCAAAUGUUUAGUUUUAGUAUUGGAUUUCACUCCUUUUUCAAGUUUGUCCUAUAGCUUCCAUAAAUCAAAAGACAUAGCACACAUCAACAUUUCUCCACACUUGUGUUCAACGGAGGGGAGCAGCAUAUUCUCAGUAUCAUGAAGAAAUUUGGGCAAACAAGUCGUAAGAUGACUUUAAUCGGUACCAGCCAAAAGACAUUUCAACUCCAUCCGGGAGUGUUAU